This 700-nucleotide long non-coding RNA is filed under the name Chrysemys picta bellii (western painted turtle). RNAcentral's name for it is "lncRNA (ENSCPBG00000020853.1)". The record is from RNAcentral. Lineage: Eukaryota; Metazoa; Chordata; Testudines; Emydidae.
CAGGGACAGAGCAGAAUUUCUCUUGUUCCUCCAUGGUGCCCUGCCCCUUUAUGUUGGCUGCUAAUCACAGGUGUCCUGACUUAUUUAAGGAAACAGAGUAUCACCAGCCUAAUGGAGUCUGUGCCUGGAAGUGACUGUUCAUCACAGCCGCGCAGCUCAUGCUUCUCUGCCUCGUUUCUGCUGUUAUCAGUGCCCCUGUGUUUAGGGGAGGAAAACGAGAUAUUUUGCAUUCAUUGAGGAAGCACUGCAGCCUGCAUGAUGACACGUAUUGAAUCAGAACUGUCUCCAUCAAAUUGCAGCUCAUCUGAAAAUACGCCUUCUGCUGCUGCCUCUUAAAGGAAGUUUGCAGUCUAAGAACCGAGAUCCUGGGACACUGGAGCAUGACUAAAAACAGCCAGAGAGGGAAUCUGGAGGAUGUCUUCCAAGAGGGAGUUCAGAAACAGAGUCCUCAAUGGGUAAAAUGUAGCCUGCACUCUUGUGGAACCUAGGAACCAAACACUGAUGACCAUGAAUUACAGUCACAUAGUAUGGCAGGCUGGUGGGGAAGCCGUAGACCUGUCUUCUUCUCAUGGUUUGCCAGGUUGCAAGGAUCUGUCCUGCACUCUGCUGAGCGUAUUAUAGGGAUGGCAAAUGAACCUGGUUCUUGUGCAGGAGGUCUCUAUCCAUCUCCUUAUUUGGCCCCCAUUGUGGUCAUGUCUGA